Molecule: ribosomal RNA, 497 nt
Filed under: uncultured bacterium
Lineage: Bacteria
Description: partial 16S ribosomal RNA
Rfam family: Bacterial small subunit ribosomal RNA
Source: RNAcentral
GAUGAACGCUGGCGGCGUGCCUAAUACAUGCAAGUCGAGCGAACAGACGAGGAGCUUGCUCCUCUGACGUUAGCGGCGGACGGGUGAGUAACACGUGGAUAACCUACCUAUAAGACUGGGAUAACUUCGGGAAACCGGAGCUAAUACCGGAUAAUAUAUUGAACCGCAUGGUUCAAUAGUGAAAGACGGUUUUGCUGUCACUUAUAGAUGGAUCCGCGCCGCAUUAGCUAGUUGGUAAGGUAACGGCUUACCAAGGCGACUAUGCGUAGCCGACCUGAGGGGGUGAUCGGCCACACUGGAACUGAGACACGGUCCAGACUCCUACGGGAGGCAGCAGUAGGGAAUCUUCCGCAAUGGGCGAAAGCCUGACGGAGCAACGCCGCGUGAGUGAUGAAGGUCUUCGGACCGUAAAACUCUGUUAUUAGGGAAGAACAAAUGUGUAAGUAACUAUGCACGUCUUGACGGUACCUAAUCAGAAAGCCACGGCUAACUACGUG